Molecule: transfer RNA, 66 nt
Filed under: Anolis punctatus (spotted anole)
Lineage: Eukaryota; Metazoa; Chordata; Lepidosauria; Squamata; Anolidae
Description: tRNA-Cys
Source: RNAcentral
AGCCCCGGAGCCCCUUAAGGGCUCAUCUUUAAAUUUGCAUUUUAAUGUGAAUCACUUCAGGACUGU